This 90-nucleotide transfer RNA is filed under the name Staphylococcus aureus. RNAcentral describes it as "tRNA-Ser". It matches the Rfam family "tRNA". From Rfam's summary of the family: Transfer RNA (tRNA) molecules are approximately 80 nucleotides in length. Their secondary structure includes four short double-helical elements and three loops (D, anti-codon, and T loops). The record is from RNAcentral. Lineage: Bacteria; Bacillati; Bacillota; Bacilli; Caryophanales; Staphylococcaceae.
GGAGGAAUACCCAAGUCCGGCUGAAGGGAUCGGUCUUGAAAACCGAUAGGGGCUUAACGGCUCGCGGGGGUUCGAAUCCCUCUUCCUCCG